GUGGGGAAUAUUGGGCAAUGGGCGAAACCCUGAUCCAGCGACGCCGCGUGAAGGAUGAAGGCCUUCGGGUUGUAAACUUCUUUUGGAGGGGACGAAUAAAUUGACGGUACCCUCAGAAAAAGCCACGGCUAACUACGUGCCAGCAGCCGCGGUAAUACGUAGGUGGCGAGCGUUACUCGGAAUUACUAGGCGUAAAGCGUAUGUAGGCGGUUGUAUAAGUCUAUGGUGAAAUUUCCUGGCUCAACUGGGAAGGGACAUAGAUACUGUAUGGCUUGAGUGUUGGAGGGGGAGACGGAAUUCCUGGUGUAGCGGUGAAAUGCGUAGAUAUCAGGAGGAACACCGAUGGCGAAAGCAGUCUCCUGGCCAAAUACUGACGCUGAGGUACGAAAGCUAGGGUAGCAAACAGGAUUAGAAACCCCUGUAGUCC
Molecule: ribosomal RNA, 427 nt
Filed under: uncultured bacterium
Lineage: Bacteria
Description: partial 16S ribosomal RNA
Rfam family: Bacterial small subunit ribosomal RNA
Source: RNAcentral